This is a long non-coding RNA of Papaver somniferum (opium poppy), 713 nucleotides long. RefSeq lists it as uncharacterized. The transcript is spliced from 2 exons. The record is from RefSeq and is a predicted model, not a curated record. Lineage: Eukaryota; Viridiplantae; Streptophyta; Magnoliopsida; Ranunculales; Papaveraceae.
CAAACCGAGAAGCUAAGUUCACCUUCUUUCUUCUUCCCGUUUCUUCUUCAUUCUAUCUUUUUCUCUGUUCUUUCUUUGUCGAUCUGAGAAGUGAGAGUGAGUAGUGAUUUGAGAGACACGGUUGAUGAGAGUAGGUACUCGGUGAAGGUGAUGUUGUGGUGAAUCAGAAAGGAGAAGGGUUUGAGGUUGAUAGAGUUUCUGCUCGAGUUGAUGAAACAGAGAGAAUCAAUUUAGGGUUCUGGAUUUGAAUUUGGGUAUGUGUGAAACUGAUGAUGAUUUCGAGUUGAUAACGGAUGAAUAUCGAACGGGUUGUUGAUGUAUUGAUGAUAUGAAGAUGUACUGAAGACGAAUUGAAUAGUCAAAGAGCUAGGGUUUCUGUGAAGUCUUUUGGAGUUCGAUUUAAGUGGUUAUUAAGAAGAAUUAAAGGAUGGGUAUUGAAGAAUAUGAUGUGAAGAAGGUUGUUAUAGAUUUAAUUUGGGGUUUUGGUUACAAAGAAGAUCGAUUAAGAGAUUUGCAGAGUUAGGGUUCUGUUCUAGGGCUUCUGUGAGUUAAAGAUGAUGAUGAGGAUUGGUGGGUUGUUGGUGAUCUGAAUUAAGUGAAGAAGGAAUUGACUGCAAUUUCCUGCGUAACAUAUAUUUGAGGCUAUAAUCUGCUGUUUAUUACAACCUGAGCGGGACAGCCUGUCCGUACAUCUAACUUUAAAUUUUCUAGCA